RNAcentral lists this small RNA (815 nucleotides) under Pongo abelii (Sumatran orangutan). RNAcentral describes it as "retained intron". The record is from RNAcentral. Lineage: Eukaryota; Metazoa; Chordata; Mammalia; Primates; Hominidae.
AUGGAGAAGGAGAACCUGCGGCUGGCCCUGGAUGCCAUGAGGGUGAGUGGGUGUAGGGUGCUGGUGACUCACCUGCUGCAGACACCCUCCUGGUGGGGACUGAUCCUCUAGCCGGGGUUAGGUAGGAGCCUGGGUCGGCUGUUGGGGGGCCAGGUUCACCCCUGCCCCCUCCCCAGGACCUGGCUCAGUGCGUGAACGAGGUCAAGCGAGACAACGAGACACUGCGGCAGAUCACCAAUUUCCAGCUGUCCAUUGAGAACCUGGACCAGUCUUUGGCUCACUAUGGCCGGCCCAAGAUAGACGGGGAGCUCAAGAUCACCUCGGUGGAACGGCGCUCCAAGAUGGACAGGUACGCCUUCCUGCUCGACAAAGCUCUACUCAUCUGUAAGCGCCGGGGAGACUCCUAUGACCUCAAGGACUUUGUGAACCUGCACAGCUUCCAGAUUCGGGAUGACUCUUCAGGAGACCGAGACAACAAGAAGUGGAGCCACAUGUUCCUCCUGAUCGAGGACCAAGGUGCCCAGGGCUAUGAGCUGUUCUUCAAGACAAGAGAAUUGAAGAAGAAGUGGAUGGAGCAGUUUGAGAUGGCCAUCUCCAACAUCUACCCGGAGAAUGCCACUGCCAAUGGGCAUGACUUCCAGAUGUUCUCCUUUGAGGAGACCACAUCCUGCAAAGCCUGUCAGAUGCUGCUUAGAGGUACCUUCUAUCAGGGCUACCGCUGCCAUCGGUGCCGGGCACCUGCACACAAGGAGUGUCUGGGGAGGGUCCCUCCAUGUGGCCGACUUGGGCAAGAUUUCCCAGGAACUAUGAAGAAG